GACGAACUGUCCAAACGUUGUUCGGAAUCACUGGGCUUAAAGGGCGCGUAGGCGGUCAAACAAGUCAAGGGUGAAAUCCUGUAGCUUAACUGUAGAAGUGCCUUUGAUACUGUUUGUCUGGAGGGAGAUAGGGGUGUGCGGAACUUCCAGUGGAGCGGUGAAAUGCGUUGAUAUUGGAAGGAACGCCGGAGGCGAAAGCGGCGCACUGGAUCUCUUCUGACGCUGAGGCGCGAAAGCUAGGGGAGCAAACGGG
RNAcentral lists this ribosomal RNA (253 nucleotides) under uncultured bacterium. RNAcentral describes it as "partial 16S ribosomal RNA". It matches the Rfam family "Bacterial small subunit ribosomal RNA", at positions 524 to 776 of the family's 1533-position model. The record is from RNAcentral.